UUUAAAUACAACCAUAAUUUUUCGUACUCAACUUUGAUCGUCCAUCUUAUUUGAAUUUUUUUAUAAUUUAUAUUUUUUAUUGUUAUGAGAUGAUAAAAUAUGGAUAGUACUUUAUACAUGAUUUAUGUUUUUAAUUUUUUUCAAAAAAAUUUUAAAUAAGACAGAUGAUCAAAGUUGUGCACGGAAAAUCAUGGUUGCAUUUAAA
Oryza barthii is the source of this 205-nucleotide non-coding RNA. The record is from Rfam. Lineage: Eukaryota; Viridiplantae; Streptophyta; Magnoliopsida; Poales; Poaceae.